Molecule: long non-coding RNA, 385 nt
Organism: Strongylocentrotus purpuratus (purple sea urchin)
Lineage: Eukaryota; Metazoa; Echinodermata; Echinoidea; Camarodonta; Strongylocentrotidae
Exons: 3
Source: RefSeq, a predicted model, not a curated record
GAUGAUAUUUCCUUCGGUGGUCUUUCGGCACCCCCCGAGAUUCUCGCUCGGGGGCUGAGAGCACGGCGAGCGUAUGCCGAAGCAGCUCAAGCUGGCACGAAGAAAGUUUUUCGAACUCGCCUGAUGCUUGUUGGACAAGAACGUGUUGGAAAGACAAGUCUAAAGAAAACUCUUACAGGACAAAGAUUUGAUCAAAACGAGGCAAUGACGAACGGUGUAGAAACAACAAACGCAUGUGAAAUUUGCAUUGAGGUUGCUAAGGCUGGCGAGAAAAUGUGGUCAAUUCACAAAAAAGGACAUGGGAAUGAAGAUACAAAAGAAGAUGAAUAUAGUAAAGCUCUUGCGGAUGACAUAGCAAAGAGGCUGAUCGUGACCCCAUCACAGG